This 451-nucleotide ribosomal RNA is filed under the name uncultured bacterium. RNAcentral's name for it is "bacterial SSU rRNA". It matches the Rfam family "Bacterial small subunit ribosomal RNA", at positions 330 to 795 of the family's 1533-position model. The record is from RNAcentral.
ACCAGACUCCUACGGGAGGCAGUAGUGGGGAAUAUUGGGCAAUGGGCGCAAGCCUGACCCAGCAACGCCGCGUGAAGGAAGAAGGCUUUCGGGUUGUAAACUUCUUUUCUCAGGGACGAAGCAAGUGACGGUACCUGAGGAAUAAGCCACGGCUAACUACGUGCCAGCAGCCGCGGUAAUACGUAGGUGGCAAGCGUUAUCCGGAUUUACUGGGUGUAAAGGGCGUGUAGGCGGGACUGCAAGUCAGAUGUGAAAACCACGGGCUCAACCUGUGGCCUGCAUUUGAAACUGUAGUUCUUGAGUACUGGAGAGGCAGACGGAAUUCCUAGUGUAGCGGUGAAAUGCGUAGAUAUUAGGAGGAACACCAGUGGCGAAGGCGGCGUACUGGACUGUAACUGACGUUGAGGCUCGAAAGCGUGGGGAGCAAACAGGAUUAGAUACCCUGGUACAC